CCCCUAUGGACACGGAUUUGGGAUUUGGGGUUUGGGCUUUGGGAUGCCGCUCUAUGGGGGCAAGGCUUGUGCACUGGGAGCCCCCAGCGUUCCCUGAGCUGCUCCCUCCGGUGCUCGCUGUGCAUGGAAACCGGGGGGGGGGGACGACGAAGGGGGGGAUGGAAUUAUUUCUGGAAGUGAUGGCGGCCGUUUAUUUUUACUGCAGGGGCUCAGGGAGAGAGAAAGCUCCUCUGGGCUGCGGCGCCGGGACCGACGCUUGCUCCAGAUUUGCUGCGUGUGCAAACAAAGCCCGAGCCGGGGACUGCAAGGCUGCAAAAGCGGCCCCUGCAAAACCCGGGCCCGAAUGCAAUUAAAUCCUUGCAAAUGCAUCCGGGACAAGGCCUGGACCCCAAUGCAAUCGGAGCCUUGCAAAAGAAGCCCUAGCAAAGCCCUGCUCCAAAUGCACGCAAACCCUUGCAAAUGCAUCCACAUCUGCAAAUGCAUCUGUAGCAAAGCCCUGCUCCAAAUGCAUGCAAACCCUUGCAAAUGCAUCCACAUCUGCAAAUGCAUCCAUAGCAAACCCCUGCUCCAAAUGCAAGCAAACCCUUGCAACUACAUCCCAGUCUGCAAAUGCAUCUGUAGCAAAGCCCUGCUCCAAAUGCAAGCAAACCCUUGCAAAUGCAUCCACAUCCGCAAAUGCAUCCGUAGCAAAGCCCUGCUCCAAAUGCAUGCAAACCCCUGCAAAUGCAUCCAGGACAAGGCCUGGGCCCCAAUGCAAUCAGGCCCUUGCAAAAGAAGCCCUAGCAAAGCCCUGCUCCAAAUGCAAGCAAACCCUUGCAAAUGCAUCCACAUCUGCAAAUGCAUCCUUAGCAAAGCCCUGCUCCAAAUUCACCCACAGCAAAGCACUGCCCCCAAAUGCACGCAAAGCCUUGCAAAUGCAUCCAAGUUUGCAAAUGCUCCUGCAGCAAAGCCUUGCUCCAAAUGCACGCAAACCCCUGCAAAUGCAUCCAGGACAAGGCCUGGGCCCCAACGCAAUCAGACCCUUGGAAAAGAAGGCCUAGCAAAGCACUGCUCCAAAUGCAUGCAAACCCCUGCAAAUGCAUCCAGGACAAGGCCUGGACCCAAAUGCAAGCAAAUCCUUGCAAAAGAAGCCCUAGCAAAGCCCUGCUCCAAAUGCCCCCACAGCAAAGCACUGCCUCCAGUUGCAUGCAAAACCCAGCAAAUGAUUCCAAGCCUGCAAAUGCAUCUGUAGCAAAGCCCUGCCCCAAAUGCAAUCAGACCCUUGCAAAAGAAGCCCUAGCAAAGCCCUGCUCCAAAUGCAUGCAAACCCUUGCAACUACAUCCCAGUCUGCAAACGCAUCUGCAGCCAAGCCCUGCCCCAUACCCUAGCACUACCACGGUGCUUGCAAUGCAACGCGCACAUGCAGCCCUGGCCCCACCACGGUGCCUGCAACGCUUGCAACCCCAGCACUGCUGCUCCUGGGGUCCGGAUGCAACUUCAGCCCCGGGAGCACCUCACGCCGUGCAUGCACCUGCAGGAACCUGAUGCUGCACCACUGCAUGGUGUUUGCAGCCCAAGGCCGGGCCGGCGAUGCUGCACCGAGCUGCCCACCAACAGCACCCCAAAAUCCUGC
This is a long non-coding RNA of Numida meleagris (helmeted guineafowl), 1613 nucleotides long. NCBI's taxonomy places the organism in Eukaryota, Metazoa, Chordata, Aves, Galliformes, Numididae. The record is from Ensembl.